UUUAACGAGAGCUUUGCUGAUAAACAUUGAAUUAUGAAAUGAACAUCAAAAAGUGUUGAUAGAAAAUAUGUGUUUCAUUUACCCGACACAUUCCCAGAGACUCAAAGUAUCCUGAGGUACGUUAUUCCGCUCAUCAUCCUGUCCCUCCCCCACCUCCUCUGGUCUCUCGUACAGCUGUGUGUUUGGUACCAAUACAACAAGAUCAAGAUGUUGUCCAGAUCAAGAUGGUGACAAGGACCUCCACCUCAUGAGACACACUGCAGUACCAGCAGCUGCUGCUAGUGACGAUGAGGAAGAAGAGGAUUAGGAGAAUAAUGGAGUUACUAAUCACAGCAAAAUUAACAAACGAGAAUAAAAAAUUAGUAUAAAAUUAUUCUAAAAGUAUUGAGACACUGCGUUCAAUAUUCAAUGGAAUGACAUCAAGUUACAACAAACUAAGGAAACAACUGGAAACAAAAAUGCACGAAAUCGAAGAGGAGAAAGGAGGAGAGAGAGGAGGAGGAGGAGCUGAAGAUUUGAACUUAUUGAAUGCUAAACUUGAAGCAGAUAAAGCUAAGCUUGAGCAUAAAGUGA
Amphimedon queenslandica is the source of this 573-nucleotide long non-coding RNA. RefSeq lists it as uncharacterized. Lineage: Eukaryota; Metazoa; Porifera; Demospongiae; Haplosclerida; Niphatidae. The transcript has 5 exons. The record is from RefSeq and is a predicted model, not a curated record.